AUGCCAGGAAAAAUGCCCCAAAACCACAGCACAAAACUCCUCCAGGAGAAGCUGAACGCUGGGAUCUCUGCCCGGGGCUGGGUGAGGGGGUGCGGACGCCCCAGGGCCUACCCCCGAGUUUCGGGGCGGGGGAGCGAUGCUCGCAGGGUCUGGGCCGGAGCGGCAUCGCCGUUCCCCCACCCCCGAGGUGCCGCGAGCUGCCGCCCCAGCCCCGGCCCCAGCCCUUACAUGGACAAAUCUGCCUGCAGGGAAAGGCAGGAAUUUGGGCCCUUGACGUCAGCCCCGGGCAGAGCGCAGCAGCCCGGCGGGGCGGGAGGCAGCGGCCGCCGCUUUCGCUUUUUGUUUCGGGGGUGUCCCCGGGAGCUCGGGGCUCGCAGCCCACCUCCUACGCCGGAGGGGAGUUGCUACUUCUCCUGGAGCCUGGCGGAUGGCUGGUGUGGAGCUGGUCUCACUUGUUUGCAUGCCGGAUGCCAGCUGAUGUGGUGCUGUGCCACGGCUGUGAAAGAAACCCAAAGUCGUGACUCUGGCAGUCUCCAGAAGCCCCGCUCCGAGUUCAUCCCACCAGCAAGGCUGUGCAGUGCAGGAGCCGUCUCUCCCUUUCUGCGCUUGUUGGAAGACCAGGAUGAGUGGUGCAAGGCCCAGUGGGUGAUGGAACUCAGGGCCAUGCACUGGGGCUGGUAA
Molecule: long non-coding RNA, 681 nt
Organism: Phasianus colchicus (ring-necked pheasant)
Lineage: Eukaryota; Metazoa; Chordata; Aves; Galliformes; Phasianidae
Source: Ensembl